AACAGGAUUAGAUACCCUGGUAGUCCACGCCCUAAACGAUGUCAACUAGCUGUUGGGCCCUUCGGGGCUUAGUAGCGCAGCUAACGCGUGAAGUUGACCGCCUGGGGAGUACGGUCGCAAGAUUAAAACUCAAAGGAAUUGACGGGGACCCGCACAAGCGGUGGAUGAUGUGGAUUAAUUCGAUGCAACGCGAAAAACCUUACCUACCCUUGACAUGUCUGGAAUCCUGAAGAGAUUUAGGAGUGCUCGCAAGAGAACCGGAACACAGGUGCUGCAUGGCUGUCGUCAGCUCGUGUCGUGAGAUGUUGGGUUAAGUCCCGCAACGAGCGCAACCCUUGUCAUUAGUUGCUACAUUUAGUUGAGCACUCUAAUGAGACUGCCGGUGACAAACCGGAGGAAGGUGGGGAUGACGUCAAGUCCUCAUGGCCCUUAUGGGUAGGGCUUCACACGUCAUACAAUGGUCGGGACAGAGGGUUGCCAAACCGCAAGGUGGAGCUAAUCUCACAAACCCGAUCGUAGUCCGGAUUGCAGGCUGCAACUCGCCUGCAUGAAGUCGGAAUCGCUAGUAGUCGCGGAUCAGCAUGUCGCGGUGAAUACGUUCCCGGGUCUUGUACACACCGCCCGUCACACCAUGGGAGUGGGUUUUACCAGAAGUAGUUAGCCUAACCGCAAGGGGGGCGAUUACCACGGUAGGAUUCAUGACUGGGGUGAAGUCGUAACAAGGUAACC
RNAcentral lists this ribosomal RNA (729 nucleotides) under uncultured bacterium. RNAcentral's name for it is "bacterial SSU rRNA". It matches the Rfam family "Bacterial small subunit ribosomal RNA", at positions 771 to 1501 of the family's 1533-position model. The record is from RNAcentral.